ACGAACGCUGGCGGCAUGCCUAACACAUGCAAGUCGCACGAGACCUUCGGGUCUAGUGGCGCACGGGUGCGUCACGCGUGGGAACCUGCCCUUAGGUUCGGAAUAACUCCCCGAAAGGGGUGCUAAUACCGGAUAAUGUCUUCGGACCAAAGAUUUAUCGCCUUUGGAUGGGCCCGCGUUGGAUUAGCUAGUUGGUAGGGUAAAAGCCUACCAAGGCGACGAUCCAUAGCUGGUCUGAGAGGAUGAUCAGCCACACUGGGACUGAGACACGGCCCAGACUCCUACGGGAGGCAGCAGUGGGGAAUAUUGGACAAUGGGCGAAAGCCUGAUCCAGCAAUGCCGCGUGAGUGAUGAAGGCCUUAGGGUUGUAAAGCUCUUUUACCCGGGAUGAUAAUGACAGUACCGGGAGAAUAAGCUCCGGCUAACUCCGUG
RNAcentral lists this ribosomal RNA (432 nucleotides) under uncultured bacterium. RNAcentral describes it as "partial 16S ribosomal RNA". It matches the Rfam family "Bacterial small subunit ribosomal RNA", at positions 29 to 507 of the family's 1533-position model. The record is from RNAcentral.